Molecule: long non-coding RNA, 5526 nt
Organism: Gallus gallus (chicken)
Lineage: Eukaryota; Metazoa; Chordata; Aves; Galliformes; Phasianidae
Source: Ensembl
CCGCUGUGGAACUUUUGAGUCGUUCCUUCUAGUGCCUUCAGGAGAACACCCUUCCUGAGCUCGAGCAGCAGUGUUUGUGCAAGAGAGAGAAAACAUCUUUCUGACACAGAGAGGCUAACUCCACCGGUUUCUUCUUGCUGCAGCCCUUCUCCAUAAAGGCAAAUAAGGUUAAUCAGCGUUCAGCGUCCUCCGGCCAAAGCCGGAGGUGUGAAUUCCAGCGCUGAGAUCAGUCGAACACCUCAGCGAGCAAGCCACUGAAUGACUGUUUGAGCUCAGGCGCCACAAACAUAAACUUAACAGCUCCCAGUGUGCCGGCCUUGCUGCAGGAUCACUCCUCACCUCCCGGGACUUGUGAAGUGCAGGCGGAGAAGGCAGCUCCCGAGGAGGCGGCGGGGAGGCAGGCUCCGGAGGGGGCUGGGGAGGCAAUGCUCUGUGACCGAGCUUUCCGUAUGGUAUUGUAUCUGCUGUCGUUAGCCAGGGAAAAGGGUGCAAAACUAAUCGAUGCCUUUCCCCGAGGCUCCUGUCUGUGCCGGAAGUUGGGGCAAGGUCCGUGCGCCGCUCUUCGCAGCAAUCGAGCCGGGAAAGGAGGCUUUUGCUUCGAGCUGCUGUUUCACAGUACUGAUUUUUCUUUCUUGCGGCUCACCACACUAAAAGCUCAGGAGGGAAAGCGGAGGAGGUGGGGGUGCCGCGCAGCAUCACCGCACCCGGCCUGAUCUCAGUAACGGGACAGCCUUUCCACUGGUUUACCUGCGGCUCCGGAUUGCUCCGGCGGCGUGGGGGGACGAGAUGUGGGGAGAAGGAAGGAGAAAGGUUACGAAACAGGAUUUUUGUUGAAGAGUGUGGCCAUUUUUUAAAAUUGUAUUUGUUUGUUUGUUUGUUUUACUCCUGUUAUACAAAAUAGGACAAGGUAUGUUUGUGGGAGAGAGAGAGGGUGAAGAAGUUUUCAAGAAAUAAGUGACACGGAGCAAAGCAGAGCUCUACUCCUAUCUUAGGGCGGCAAUGGGAAGAGGAAAAUAGGGUGUUACUGUGGCUUUUCUUUGGGAGGGUUGUUCGGGUCGGUAGAUCUCCAACGCUAAUCCAAACAACCCGUUUGACUUGUGAGGUCCGGAGUCUAGACAGAGCUGGUGGCUCGGCGGCUCCUUAUCUGGUUUUGGAAUCAGCCGAAAGAGACUUUUCUUAAUGUCCACAGCAGCACUGGGAUCUGCGGGGGCCGGGUAGCCACCGCACCUCGCAGACAGGACAACAAAUACACCCACCACCUGGAGGCUUUAUAGCCCGCUUUGUUGUUCCCGAUCUCUGUCUCGCCCCUGCCCUCGGCCGCCGGGCCGGGGUAACCCACGUCCCGCGGUUUGCUUAAUACAACAUAGACCUGCUGCUCGCCCUGUAUCCCCCCGGGCACUCAAAGGCUACCUCCACAGCAGUAUGGGACAGUGGGCACUCGAUUUCUGAUGGGUUAUUUUAUAAUCCUGAUGUGCUGUUAUUUAAUUCCUUUAUCUUUCCCUUUCUUUUGCUCUUUCUUUCUUUUACUCUGUCUUUCUGUCCUCUCUUUCUCUCUCUCUCCCUUCCUUCCUUCUCUCUUCUUUCUUCUUUCCUUCCCUCUCUUUUUCCCACCUUCCUUCCUUUCUUUCCUUUUUUUUUUCCCUUUCCCCUUGUGUAUGACACUAUUAUUAUUAUUAUUAUUAUUAUUAUUAUUAUUAUUAUUAUUAUUAUUAUUAUUUUUCCAAUUGGAGUUUUGCAGACAAUGGAAAACAAACAAACAACAAACAAACAAACUGACAGCUAUUCAAAAUCACCAGAGAUCACCAACACUGGAGACUGAUUGAAGCAAGUCAAUCAAGAGAGAGGAAGUCUGUUUAGAUAUAAGACCUUCGUUGGAGGUAGAAAAUUGCCCUCUAUAUUAGUUCCUUUGUGCUGGAUUUGUGGAUAUUCUGAGUAAUAAAGCAUGUUAAAUGGAGUUCAGAUCAGUAAAAGCAUUUAGCUCAGUAGCAAGCAGUAUUUUGGAAAGUAGGGAGAAAGGUGCAUCUUUUGGUUGGAUAUUCCUUUUCCUAUUUAUUCAUUCAUUUUCUUAAUGCCUCCGAAUCUUGUGUCAUAUUAGGUGGAUGCCUGGUAUAUUUCCAAGUUUGAGCAUUGCUUGAGCUCGUCUACCAUCUCUGCUGUUUCUCUACCAUAACACAAGACAAUUUGCAGUAAAUGCAUGUGAUUCCUUUCCAAAACCCAUGCUGUUUCUCAGUGUAGUUGAGUUCAGGGCCAUGAUACUUCAUUUUGGAAGAAAGCAAGCUGAUUACUGUAACUAUGAUGUACUGAUAUGCUAUUUGCAGCAGAUAUUGUAAUUGAGUCUGCUAAUGUGGAAUUAUGAAAUUUGCCACUGGGUAGGACUCUUUCUCUCUGCAAUUUAGAAGGUUUGUGGUUUGUGGAUAAGUGCUGUUUUCUAGAUUUACCAGUUGUAAAUGUCCUUGUGUACAGAGCAAAUUAUAUGGCAAAGCUUUUGUAAUAAUUUUCCAUCAAAUACAAUUAAAGCAUUUUAAACUCUCAAUAACUCAGGGAAUUUGGGACCAAGAGAGCAUCAUUUUCCUAGCAAAGGAAUCUUAACCAUGAUCCUGGUACUUCUCUCUCUCUUUUUUUUCUUUCUUUCUCAUGGGUAAAACUUAGUGUUUAUUUUUAUCUGUCACAAAUACAAAGUGUUGUUUGAAAUGUGUUAAACUUAGCAGGUAUAUAGAGAUAAUACUGACGUGUCACUGUGCAUGAUAAAGUAAAAUAUGGUGGGAAUUAACUUGAAAAGUUUAUGAAAGUUUUAACUACAGCCCAUAAAUUAACUUAAAAAAAAAAAAAAAAAAAAAAGGACGAUGAUAUGAUGAUACAUAUAUAUAGGAGAUCUUACAAUAUAUAUAACACCUUAGAAAUACCCCAGUAUUAAAAGCCCAAACAUUUUUUACCCCAGACUGAAGAUGAGCCCUUACAGUGCUUACUGCAAGUAACUUGAAGCAAUUAUUACAACUCUGGUGAUUCCGUAAUUGCAGGGGCAAACUUUAAAGGUUACAGAGAGACUUUUGUGAAGUUUUGCUGCGAACGUCUCAUGAAGCGGGAAUGCAUAUCACUGAAGGGUUCAGCCCAAUGUUCUCUGAUGUUAGUGGCAAAGAUCCCUUGACAUGUGAGUAUAAAAUCAGUGGUUUUCAGUACCUACUAUUUUGUAGGUACCCAAUGUGGAUUUAUCAGUUUAGUAAUUUCCAUUGCUUUAUUAAUAUUUGACCUUAAAUGGCUGCAUAAUUUUCUUUUAUAGUACUAAAAAAGUCCAACAAUAAUACUCACAAACUUUCAGUGCAUCACUGAAAGCAUUUUGCUUGGUAGAGUAAUUAGAAAUAUAAGUCAAUAGCAUAUCUGUAUGUACAGAAUAUUUUAAAAUAAAACCACUGCCCAACUCACUUACAGUCUCUAAAGAGAAAUUUCAUGUCUCAUAAUUUUUAGGGCAGGAGACAAUAUACAAAUUACUUGCACAAUACUUUACAGAAGAGCAAUCCUAGAAAAAAACUGAACAGAAUUAGCCUCACACCAUUUUGCAGUCCUAAUUUACAUGCAUUUUGUCUUCAUGAUAUGAAACAUGGGGAAAUUUUACAGGAUUUGUCCCCAUUAGCAUGGCUGGAAUUUAGAACUGAAUGACCUCAGGUUCCACACUCGGCUCAGUCAGUGGUUUUUCAGGUGUGCUAAAGAUGCAGGAUUUUGUUUAGUGAAAAUGAAUUUGUAGUAAAUCAAUAUAUUCACUUUAUUCAAAAUUUUUUUUUUUUUUUUAAUAAAUUCCCUAUGGUCUUUAAGAGGGUCACAUGUUCUCAAUUUAAUUGUGUUCAUCUCUUUUCAAAGUCAGUUAUUUCUGCCUAUUAUGUAGAAGCAAAACCAAGACCAUUUGGAUUAUUGAAAUGAUGAACCUCAUACCAUAUUUCUUUCUGGUAACAAUAUUAUUAUGAGGUACUUCAGAGGAGAAGGAUUGGAUUGGUCAUUAAAGUAGUCCUGGAAGCAAAAUGCCACCAUUUGGGAUGUCAGUUCUACAGUUCAUAGGCUAUUCAAAACAAACUGUGUAAAGGAAAUAUAUUUGCAGUUUUAAUUUAACUUAUUAAAUUAUCAUUACAAGAAAAAAAAAUCACUGAGAAUUAAGAAAGGCAGAUAGUACUUCGUACAUCAAAAUGACUGCUAAGAUUGUGUUUCUAAGUUUCUUUGUGAAUAUUUUGUUUAUAAAAAUACAUUAGUUUCUGAAAUUCAUGGACACAUUUGGGUGUGCCUACAAUUGUUCCGUGAUUGUGCAGUGCCUAAUACAAAGGGUCAGGCUUCUCUCAGGUUCUUAGAGCUCUGCUGUAACCAACCUGGUCAAUAAAAGGAAGUAAAAGGCCAUGGUAAUAUAUAACCACACUCUAAUAACUGGCCAUAUAAAGCCUCGUGUCUUUUAUAUGCUUAAUUCCAACAACAACUACAAAAAAUCUAAUUUUUUUAGUUCACUUAUUCCUGUUUCUAUGGCAAAAAUGUUGUUAACUCUCACAGGAGAGUUUGGUCUCUUCAUGCAGUAAGUGCCUCAAAGAAGUGGGAAUUAAGAAUGAAAUUGCAUGACAAGCAGCAGCAUUACAAUUAGCAGUACAAGUUUUAUGCUGCAAGCAUCAAGUCUGGAAGGAAAAAACACUGAAAGAUGAAAGUCCUGUAAUGCAGGAUCAAAAGUUUGGCUGACUUUUACAGUUAGGAAAACAACAUGUUAAUUCUUUAGAGUUUUAGCUUCCUUCAACUAUUUAGUAAGAGAAAUUUACAUAUUUCUGAAAAUAUUUUUAUUUUUGGUAUAUAUUGCUGGACCAAAUACAGUAGCUGUGGAUUAAAAAAAAAAAAAAAAAAAAAAAAAGGCAAAAAAAAAAUUUGUCCAGUUAACAAUCAGUUAAAAACUACAAGCUAUUUCAUCCAAUUCUUAAUCAUAUUUUUCAGUCAGGUGGUGAUAAAUUGAGUUGUCCUGCAGAUCAUGCUUUUGUUUUGUUUUGUUUUUUUCUUUUUUUAAUGCUUUUUUAUACUGUAAGGAAUAAUCUACAUCUUUUGGUAAAGUUAGUGGAGUCAGGUGGAGGUACAUGCUUUCACACUUUUCUGAAUGUGGGGCCUAAAAGGAACAAAUAAUUAGUGUUCCCAUGCAAAAUUUAGGUCAGCGAAUCUCCCAGGGGCAGUGGCAUGGUAAAUGUAAUUGUGAGGGCAAUGUGCAAGAGUGAAAGGAAGGAUGGAGGAGGAUUAUCUACCUUUGACAUGACACAGAGCCUGUGACACCCUGAUAACUCUCUCUCAAGCUGCAGCCAUGGCUUCAUUGCCCAGCCCAGUCUUGUGCUUUUUCAGCUCACUGCUUGAAAGGGGCAGCAACGUUUCUGCUGAGGAAGGGUGGAUUGCUUUGCCCUGGGCUCAGCUGAAAUGGUUAAACGAGUACUACACUCCUAGCAGAAAUCUUGAAAAGAAUUGUAGAAUAGUUCCUUAAGCAUGGAGCUGCUUCAUUCUCACAUCUGUACAGGAAGAGGCACUGAC